GACGGUCUGCGCCUCGCGGCAGGAGUAACAUUCCCCGGGGCCUUAUUGAUCCCAAGGGAGCUGUCCCUGGCCGGGCUCGUGGGCUCGGACAUACGGCGCCCACCUACUUUGUAGGCACCCGGGAUCAACCUCUCCACCGGUGUGUGCGGAUCGUCG
Molecule: non-coding RNA, 156 nt
Filed under: Nitratireductor mangrovi
Lineage: Bacteria; Pseudomonadati; Pseudomonadota; Alphaproteobacteria; Hyphomicrobiales; Phyllobacteriaceae
Description: 6S / SsrS RNA
Rfam family: 6S / SsrS RNA
About the family: E. coli 6S RNA was the first non coding RNA to be sequenced, but its function was unknown until recently. It consists of 184 nucleotides that fold into an extended hairpin structure with a large single-stranded internal bulge. The 6S RNA specifically associates with RNA polymerase holoenzyme containing the sigma70 specificity factor.
Source: Rfam by way of RNAcentral